Molecule: long non-coding RNA, 899 nt
Organism: Pseudopipra pipra
Lineage: Eukaryota; Metazoa; Chordata; Aves; Passeriformes; Pipridae
Exons: 2
Source: RefSeq, a predicted model, not a curated record
CCCUCGUGGGUCGCAGCCAAUAGAACGGCUCUGCUGGAAUGACGUCAUUGCCAAAUUCUGCUUGGCCCCUCUCCUCGCACCGCACAGUCCUAAUCGUGGCCUGCAGGGGGCGCUGUUGGACCGCCAAAGAUGUAGGGCCUGCAGUUCUCUGUCGUGGUCGGCAAGGGGCGCUGUGGGAUCUCUGGCGGUCACCGUGCAGGGAGAGGGGUCUGGGGGUUGGUCUCGGGUCGCACGGGGAGCCGACAAGGGGGGGACGGACCCUCCCCUCAGCAGUUCACCCCUCAACAGGACUCACUGUUCCCAGGUGACGACGUUCCAAGGCUUUGCCCUCUCCUCCCAGCAAACACAGACCUCUCCAAUGAAGAGAAGGAAAAAAAACGAACAGUAGGUCCCGGCAGGAGUCACGAGGCAGUGGCGGUGCAGGGACGGUGGUCAGGCCUUCUGUUUGCCACUGGAGUCUGGGCUCUCAGUAGCUCUUCCUCCAGAGAUCCCUGGAUACCGUCCCUGACUCCGUCCCGGCGACAGAACUCAGCCCCCGGCGACAGAACCCAGCCGUCUGCCCCCUCUCCCCUCCGAACACACACCCACCAAAAAAAAAAAGACCAGCAGUUCCUCUCUCCCCAGUCUCUCUAAAUCACCCAUCAGUGAGGCCAGGGUACAUCUUUUGUAAAUCUAAUGACCUGGCCAGCUCAGCCAGGUACAUCUUUUGUAAAACUAAUGACCUCCCUUCCCCCCUUUUUCACUCAAACUCCAUUUUUCCUACAGUGAGGGGGGGGGGCAGGGGAAAGACAAAUUUUCCUGAAGUCCUAACCUAUAACACUGACCAAACCAGGAGCCUGUUUUUUUAGCAACAGUUUUCUCUCUGUACUCUGGUGCAACAAGACUUUGGAGGUGGUCAA